GAGAGUUUGAUCAUGGCUCAGGAUGAACGCUGGCGGCGUGCUUAACACAUGCAAGUCGAACGAACGACUAUUAACAGAACCUUUCGGGGCGAAGAUGAUAGAAGUUAGUGGCGGACGGGUGCGUAACGCGUGGGUAAUCUGCCUUUGUCAAAGGAAUAACUAUUCGAAAGAAUAGCUAAAACCAUAUAACAUAUUAAUAGGGCAUCCUAAUAAUAUCAAAACUGAGGUGGACAAAGAUGAGCCCGCGUCUGAUUAGCUAGUUGGUGAGAUAAAAGCCCACCAAGGCAACGAUACAUAGCCGACCUGAGAGGGUGAUCGGCCACACUGGGACUGAGACACGGCCCAGACUCCUACGGGAGGCAGCAGUAGGGAAUCUUCGGCAAUGGGGGCAACCCUGACCGAGCAACGCCGCGUGAGUGAAGAAGGUUUUCGGAUCGUAAAGCUCUGUUGUAAGUCAAGAACGAGUGUGAGAGUGGAAAGUUCACACUGUGACGGUAGCUUACCAGAAAGGGACGGCUAACUACGUGCCAGCAGCCGCGGUAAUACGUAGGUCCCGAGCGUUGUCCGGAUUUAUUGGGCGUAAAGCGAGCGCAGGCGGUUUGAUAAGUCUGAAGUUAAAGGCUGUGGCUCAACCAUAGUUCGCUUUGGAAACUGUCAAACUUGAGUGCAGAAGGGGAGAGUGGAAUUCCAUGUGUAGCGGUGAAAUGCGUAGAUAUAUGGAGGAACACCGGUGGCGAAAGCGGCUCUCUGGUCUGUAACUGACGCUGAGGCUCGAAAGCGUGGGGAGCGAACAGGAUUAGAUACCCCGGUAGUCCACGCCGUAAACGAUGAGUGCUAGGUGUUGGAUCCUUUCCGGGAUUCAGUGCCGCAGCUAACGCAUUAAGCACUCCGCCUGGGGAGUACGACCGCAAGGUUGAAACUCAAAGGAAUUGACGGGGGCCCGCACAAGCGGUGGAGCAUGUGGUUUAAUUCGAAGCAACGCGAAGAACCUUACCAGGUCUUGACAUCCCGAUGCAAUUUCUAGAGAUAGAAAGUUACUUCGGUACAUCGGUGACAGGUGGUGCAUGGUUGUCGUCAGCUCGUGUCGUGAGAUGUUGGGUUAAGUCCCGCAACGAGCGCAACCCCUAUUGUUAGUUGCCAUCAUUCAGUUGGGCACUCUAGCGAGACUGCCGGUAAUAAACCGGAGGAAGGUGGGGAUGACGUCAAAUCAUCAUGCCCCUUAUGACCUGGGCUACACACGUGCUACAAUGGUUGGUACAACGAGUUGCGAGUCGGUGACGGCAAGCUAAUCUCUUAAAGCCAAUCUCAGUUCGGAUUGUAGGCUGCAACUCGCCUACAUGAAGUCGGAAUCGCUAGUAAUCGCGGAUCAGCACGCCGCGGUGAAUACGUUCCCGGGCCUUGUACACACCGCCCGUCACACCACGAGAGUUUGUAACACCCGAAGUCGGUGAGGUAACCUUUUGGAGCCAGCCGCCUAAGGUGGGAUAGAUGAUUGGGGUGAAGUCGUAACAAGGUAGCCGUAUCGGAAGGUGCGGCUGGAUCACCU
RNAcentral lists this ribosomal RNA (1546 nucleotides) under uncultured bacterium. Its description in RNAcentral is "bacterial SSU rRNA". It matches the Rfam family "Bacterial small subunit ribosomal RNA". The record is from RNAcentral.